AUGCACCACUCUUACGCCGCGAUUCCUUCGCGUCAUCCGCACUCGCCUGGCGACUGCCUGCUGCGCCCUGCUGGCC
Molecule: small RNA, 76 nt
Filed under: Xanthomonas arboricola pv. zantedeschiae
Lineage: Bacteria; Pseudomonadati; Pseudomonadota; Gammaproteobacteria; Lysobacterales; Lysobacteraceae
Description: sX9 sRNA
Rfam family: Xanthomonas sRNA sX9
Source: RNAcentral